CGUGUUGUGAUUAGUAGUUGCUUAGUCUUCCAAGUCAAAGUUAUUCAUCCACAAUCCAUGAGUAUGCUUUGGCCUCCAGUAGAAAGUAGCAAACUUAAUUCCAGCAUAAAGUCUUAAGAAAAUACAGAAAUCAACUAUAAUAUCCGCACCCAAAUUUCGAGGUCCAAUUAUCAAAAUUGAAAAGUUAGGGGCUCAUUUGAGGGUUAAUUCACCUUCUAGAACAUUGUAGAAAAAUUAGUAUAAAUGCUAAUUCCCACACGUUUUUACUCUUUGAAGAAGGGUUGACUGCUUGGUCAAACUCUUAUAUAGAAAAUCCUUGAUUUAUGUUUUUUGUCAUAUUCAUGAUUGAUCAAACAUAGGGUAAUGUGUAGCGUGAAUGCACGUGUAUAUAGAACGUAAUUAGAGAUUCUUGCUCAUUUCACAAAUUUCAAGGAACAAUUUUCAAUGCUAGAAUUAAGAGCAUUUCCACCAUCAUGAGUUUUUCCUUAAUGAUGUGUACCUAUUCUCUUCCUAUUUAAGCCCCUCAUUCACAUUCACAUCCUACCACUCACUAUUAUUUUUCAAUCCAAAUAAUAUACAUAUAUAGACGCACAUAGCCAAGGUGGAAAUUGUAGAAAGAUCAAGCAAUUUUAUACAGUCUCUAUUACUCUCUCUUUUAAAUUUCACAUUAAGUACGCUACCUAUGUUUGGAUUAUUAUUAUGUUAUAAAUUUCACGAAAAUCAUUAUGGGUCUCAUAUGAUACAAUAUGAUUAUGUUAAGGAUACCGGAGUUUAGUAGCGUGCUACACAUAAGAAUGCUUACCACCUAUGAUCGAAAAAUUUGUCUCCAUUAUAUUGAUUAUGAUUAUUAUGCUCCUUUAAAUUAUACAUGAUAAUAAUUCAUGGCGUACUUAUUAAGAUUUUAUAAAUAUCACUCUAUGAUAUUUUCCCCUUUCAGGCAAUUAAUGGUUCAAGAUAGUCAACAU
RNAcentral lists this long non-coding RNA (965 nucleotides) under Olea europaea subsp. europaea. The record is from RNAcentral. Lineage: Eukaryota; Viridiplantae; Streptophyta; Magnoliopsida; Lamiales; Oleaceae.